RNAcentral lists this ribosomal RNA (416 nucleotides) under uncultured prokaryote. RNAcentral's name for it is "bacterial SSU rRNA". It matches the Rfam family "Bacterial small subunit ribosomal RNA", at positions 505 to 918 of the family's 1533-position model. The record is from RNAcentral.
GUGUCAGCCGCCGCGGUAAUACAGAGGGUGCGAGCGUUAAUCGGAAUUACUGGGCGUAAAGGGUGCGUAGGUGGUUAUUUAAGUCAGAUGUGAAAUCCCUGGGCUUAACCUAGGAAUUGCAUAUGAAACUGAAUAGCUAGAGUUCGAGAGAGGGAAGUGGAAUUUCCGGUGUAGCGGUGAAAUGCGUAGAUAUCGGAAGGAACACCAGUGGCGAAGGCGACUUUCUGGCUCGCAACUGACACUGAGGCACGAAAGCGUGGGUAGCAAACAGGAUUAGAUACCCUGGUAGUCCACGCUGUAAACGAUGAGAACUAGAUGUUAGUAGGCAUAAGACUUAUUAGUAUCGUAGCCAACGCGCUAAGUUCUCCGCCUGGGGAGUACGGCCGCAAGGUUAAAACUUAAAUGAAUUGACGGGG